AUUUCUACAGAAAAAAUAUUAAAUGUUAAAUAUUUUCAAUUGUCUUGUAGUUUUUUUUACUCACAAGAAUGUUGUGUCUUUUUUAAAUAUCAUGGCAGUUAGAAACGUUUGAUGCGAAGCUGAGAAGUCGAGAAAAAUAACUUUGAAAUUUAAACUAGCUUAAAUAGCCAAUUUUUUCAAUCGAUUGUAGCGACAUACGGUUGCCGAGAUGGUAAAACUUAUAUCUUACACGCUUGGGGUACGAGUUCCUGACCCACAUUCAAUAACUUCAAUAAAGAUCAAGGAUCCCAUCAUUUUAGUCGCCCCUUUUAAGCAAAGCGACAUACGAUUGCUGAAUUGGUAACACUUGUGUCUCACGUGCUUGGGGUACAAGGUUCCAACUCGCGUAUAAUUCAAUAACUUCAAUAAAGAUCACUGUAGUCGCCCCUUGUGAGAAAAACUUUCUUAUUCAUAUUAAAAUUAUUUAACUAUAUUUUAGAUUUUAGCUUCGAUGCAUAGCUGAGAAGGUAUUUUUUUGUGACUAUCAUUUAUUUUCUCUGCACUCACUUGACUUACUUUUUUCAGCGAUACGUAAAAUUAUUAAAAUUCGUAAUUAUUGACGAAACACACUUGAUGAUACUACAAAAUUAUAUCCUUUUAUUUUGUAAUUUAAUAAUUAUUCUACUCUAUUUGUGUGUGCUACUAUUUGACUAUAAUAUUCUACAUUUUUUGGUAACAUGUUGCUA
Long non-coding RNA from Daktulosphaira vitifoliae (grape phylloxera), 725 nucleotides. RefSeq lists it as uncharacterized. Lineage: Eukaryota; Metazoa; Arthropoda; Insecta; Hemiptera; Phylloxeridae. The transcript has 6 exons. The record is from RefSeq and is a predicted model, not a curated record.